CGAGGCUGGAAGUUAACGUAGUCCCGGGUUGCAUCGCUGUACUUGGCCCUGGGACUAUGUCAACUUACAACUGCG
Capitella teleta is the source of this 75-nucleotide non-coding RNA. The record is from Rfam. Lineage: Eukaryota; Metazoa; Annelida; Polychaeta; Capitellidae.